RNAcentral lists this transfer RNA (69 nucleotides) under Ictidomys tridecemlineatus (thirteen-lined ground squirrel). RNAcentral's name for it is "Spermophilus tridecemlineatus (thirteen-lined ground squirrel) tRNA". It matches the Rfam family "tRNA". Rfam says of the family: Transfer RNA (tRNA) molecules are approximately 80 nucleotides in length. Their secondary structure includes four short double-helical elements and three loops (D, anti-codon, and T loops). Lineage: Eukaryota; Metazoa; Chordata; Mammalia; Rodentia; Sciuridae. The record is from Rfam by way of RNAcentral.
GGUGUUAUAGCUUAGUGGUAGAGCUCUUGCCUUGUACAUGUGAGACACUGAGUUCGAUCCUCAGCACCA